This 524-nucleotide ribosomal RNA is filed under the name uncultured bacterium. RNAcentral's name for it is "partial 16S ribosomal RNA". It matches the Rfam family "Bacterial small subunit ribosomal RNA", at positions 28 to 523 of the family's 1533-position model. The record is from RNAcentral.
GACGAACGCUGGCGGCGUGCCUAAUACAUGCAAGUCGAACGCUUCUUUCCUCCCGAGUGCUUGCACUCAAUUGGAAAGAGGAGUGGCGGACGGGUGAGUAGCACGUGGGUAACCUACCCAUCAGAGGGGGAUAACACUUGGAAACAGGUGCUAAUACCGCAUAACAGUUUAUGCCGCAUGUCAUAAGAGUGAAAGGCGCUUUCGGGUGUCGCUGAUGGAUGGACCCGCGGUGCAUUAGCUAGUUGGUGAGGUAACGGCUCACCAAGGCCACGAUGCAUAGCCGACCUGAGAGGGUGAUCGGCCACACUGGGACUGAGACACGGCCCAGACUCCUACGGGAGGCAGCAGUAGGGAAUCUUCGGCAAUGGACGGAAGUCUGACCGAGCAACGCCGCGUGAGUGAAGAAGGUUUUCGGAUCGUAAAACUCUGUUGUUAGAGAAGAACAAGGACGUUAGUAACUGAACGUCCCCUGACGGUAUCUAACCAGAAAGCCACGGCUAACUACGUGCCAGCAGCCGCCGCGG